CUAAUUUCGCCGGCGGUUUCCCUCACCUGUUCUUCCCAGAAGUUCAGCCAAAACCAAGUUUACUCCAACUGCAUCGACCUGCCUUCUCUUUCCUCUUACCUUCACUUCUCUUACGAUUCUACCAACACUACUCUCUCCGUCGCCUUUAUAGCCACUCCUUCUAAAUCUGGAGGCUGGAUCGCAUGGGCCAUAAAUCCAAAGGACACCGGGAUGGUCGGUUCC
Molecule: long non-coding RNA, 222 nt
Filed under: Durio zibethinus
Lineage: Eukaryota; Viridiplantae; Streptophyta; Magnoliopsida; Malvales; Malvaceae
Description: long non-coding RNA (DZIB_LNC000539)
Source: RNAcentral